This 389-nucleotide ribosomal RNA is filed under the name Bacillariophyta sp. RNAcentral describes it as "partial small subunit ribosomal RNA". It matches the Rfam family "Eukaryotic small subunit ribosomal RNA", at positions 582 to 975 of the family's 1831-position model. Lineage: Eukaryota; Bacillariophyta. The record is from RNAcentral.
AUUCCAGCUCCAAUAGCGUAUAUUAAAGUUGUUGCAGUUAAAAAGCUCGUAGUUGGAUUUGUGGUGUACUUCGGCGGCCCGUCACUAUGUGAUGGAGCUUGCUGAAGUCGCCAUCCUUGGGUGGAUCCUGUGUGGCAUUAAGUUGUCGUGCAGGGGAUGCCCAUCGUUUACUGUGAAAAAAUUAGAGUGUUCAAAGCAGGCUUAUGCCGUUGAAUAUAUUAGCAUGGAAUAAUAAGAUAGGACCUUGGUACUAUUUUGUUGGUUUGCGCACCAAGGUAAUGAUUAAUAGGGACAGUUGGGGACAUUCAUAUUGCAUGGCUAGAGGUGAAAUUCUUGGAUUCAUGCAAGAUGAACUACUGCGAAAGCAUUUGCCAAGAGUGUUUUCAUUG